UACGGCCACAUCAUAUUGAAACACCAGUUCCCAUACAUUCACCGAAGUUAAGCAAUGUCUCGUCAGUAUCUAGAUGGGUAACCGCUUGGGAAUACCUGGUGUUGUAAG
This is a non-coding RNA of Acanthosepion pharaonis, 108 nucleotides long. NCBI's taxonomy places the organism in Eukaryota, Metazoa, Mollusca, Cephalopoda, Sepiida, Sepiidae. The record is from the annotation of a GenBank genome assembly.